Molecule: ribosomal RNA, 487 nt
Filed under: uncultured bacterium
Lineage: Bacteria
Description: bacterial SSU rRNA
Rfam family: Bacterial small subunit ribosomal RNA
Source: RNAcentral
GACGAACGCUGGCGGCGUGCUUAAUACAUGCAAGUCGAGCGAGGCCUUGGAAUUGGAGUCCUUCGGGAUGAAGAGUCCUUGGCCUAGCGGCGGACGGGUGAGUAACGCGUGGGCAACCUACCCCAAAGUCCGGGAGUAACAGUGGGAAACCGCUGCUAAUACCGGAUGGCUUUACCUGAGGGCAUCCUUGGGUAAAGAAAGGUUACGCUUUGGGAUGGGCCCGCGUCCCAUUAGCUAGUUGGUGAGGUAACGGCUCACCAAGGCGACGAUGGGUAGCCGGCCUGAGAGGGUGAACGGCCACACUGGGACUGAGACACGGCCCAGACUCCUACGGGAGGCAGCAGUAGGGAAUAUUGCGCAAUGGGCGGAAGCCUGACGCAGCGACGCCGCGUGAGCGAAGAAGGCCUUCGGGUCGUAAAGCUCUGUCCUUGGGGAAGAAGGCGAAAGCUUGACGGUACCCAAGAAGAAAGCCCCGGCUAACUACGUG